This 558-nucleotide ribosomal RNA is filed under the name Solicoccozyma phenolica. RNAcentral's name for it is "eukaryotic LSU rRNA". It matches the Rfam family "Eukaryotic large subunit ribosomal RNA", at positions 79 to 618 of the family's 3401-position model. The record is from RNAcentral. Lineage: Eukaryota; Fungi; Basidiomycota; Tremellomycetes; Filobasidiales; Piskurozymaceae.
CCUAGUAACGGCGAGUGAAGCGGGAAAAGCUCAAAUUUGAAAUCUGGUAGCCUCAGGCUGCCCGAGUUGUAAUCUAUAGAAACGUUUUCCGCGCUGGCCCAUGUACAAGUCUCCUGGAAUGGAGCGUCAUAGAGGGUGAGAAUCCCGUCCUUGACAUGGACUACCAGUGCUUUGUGAUACGUUUUCAAAGAGUCGAGUUGUUUGGGAAUGCAGCUCAAAAUGGGUGGUAAAUUCCAUCUAAAGCUAAAUAUUGGCGAGAGACCGAUAGCGAACAAGUACCGUGAGGGAAAGAUGAAAAGCACUUUGGAAAGAGAGUUAAACAGUAUGUGAAAUUGUUGAAAGGGAAACGAUUGAAGUCAGUCAUGUCUAUUGGACUCAGCCGGUUCUGCCGGUGUACUUCCUUUAGAUGGGGUCAACAUCAGUUUUGAUCGCUGGAAAAGGGCAGGAGGAAUGUAGCACUCUCGGGUGAACUUAUAGCCUCCUGUCGUAUACAGUGGUUGGGACUGAGGAACGCAGCAUGCCUUUAUGGCCGGGGUUCGCCCACGUACAUGCUUAGGA